RNAcentral lists this ribosomal RNA (1152 nucleotides) under Triticum aestivum (bread wheat). RNAcentral's name for it is "partial small subunit ribosomal RNA". The record is from RNAcentral. Lineage: Eukaryota; Viridiplantae; Streptophyta; Magnoliopsida; Poales; Poaceae.
AUGGCUUCCCUCGCCUCCCCUCCCGCCCCCUCCCACUCGCCCACCACCGCCGCUCGCUACCUCCCCGCCCCGGCCGGCCGCGGCAGGCGCCCGGCGCCGCCGGCCGCUUCACCUAUCUUCUCCUCUGCUUCCACCCGAUUCACUCUGUCCCCGCGCGCCCCCUGCGGCGCCGCCCGACCGCGCCGGCGCGACACCGUGCGGGCAUGCUCUCAAGCUGGUGCAGCUGGGCCAGCUCCACUCUCAAAGACGCUAUCAGACCUAAAGGAUUCCUGCUGGAGAUUUUUGAGACCACACACAAUUCGUGGAACUGCUUUGGGAUCCACAGCCUUGGUUGCUAGAGCAUUAUUAGAGAAUCCCCAAUUGAUUGAUUGGCGCUUGGUAUUCAAAGCAUUCUAUGGGCUUGUAGCAUUAAUCUGCGGCAACGGUUACAUUGUUGGGAUUAAUCAGAUCUAUGACAUUGGAAUCGACAAGGUAAACAAACCAUAUUUACCUAUUGCUGCCGGUGAUCUCUCUGUUCAGUCAGCAUGGUUACUGGUCGUAGCAUUCGCAGUGGUGGGCUUCUCAAUUGUCGUUUCAAACUUUGGACCUUUCAUCACCUCUCUUUACUGCCUUGGUCUAUUUCUUGGCACUAUAUAUUCUGUUCCUCCAUUCAGACUGAAGAGAUAUCCAGUUGCUGCUUUUCUUAUCAUUGCAACGGUUCGCGGAUUCCUUCUCAACUUUGGGGUGUACUAUGCUACUAGAGCUGCAUUAGGUCUUACAUUCCAAUGGAGCUCGCCUGUUGCUUUCAUUACAUGCUUUGUGACAGUAUUUGCUCUGGUCAUUGCUAUAACCAAAGAUCUUCCGGAUGUUGAAGGAGACCGCAAAUUCCAAAUAUCAACUUUGGCGACAAAGCUUGGUGUCAGAAAUAUUGCCUUCCUUGGCUCUGGUUUAUUGCUGGCAAAUUAUGUUGCUGCUAUUGUAGUACCUUUUCUUAUUCCUCAGGCUUUCAGGAGCUUUGUAAUGGUGCCUUUUCAUGCUGCUCUUGCAGUUGCUUUAAUUUUUCAGACAUGGGUUCUGGAGCAAGCAAAGUACAGUAAGGAUGCUAUUUCACAGUACUACCGGUUCAUCUGGAACCUCUUCUACGCCGAAUACAUCUUCUUCCCGCUAAUAUAG